GCAUGGGGAAAAGAUGGAGAGGAAAAAAUGCAGUCCGUCUGGACUGCGAUUUUGUCUGCAAAGGAAAGAUGGUCUCUGAAAGGUUCUGCGUCACACGUGGGUUCGCCGAGCCCAAUACCGAUGGUGCACCAGUCAGAGUGUUCCCCCGAGAUACAUACACUCUCCAGGUAAGCAGCACCCUGUCUGUCUCCACCAUUUUCCCAAAGUCGUAACAUAUAGGGAGAGAAGACCAUCAUCAGAGAGCCACUAGGUGAGACUCAUGAAGCCUCUUCCCGGUACUGUUCCCUGAACCACUCCCCUCCCGUUUACCCCACAGCUGAAAGCCAACCACAGGCCGCCACAAUCAGCUAUCCAGGUAGGUCGAGGAGCACUGGGAUCUUCACAAUCACAGGCCUUUGAGCGAAAGACAAUGAGUAUGAAGAUGAGGGGUUAACGGUGCAAACAUAUGGGGGUCUCCUGCAGAGUGCUUUAACUUCAAUCAGCAUAGACCCUUAUUUAGGCUGUAAAGAAACAGUAACGGUAAUGAAAAAAAAGCCAACUGUGGUGGAAAUUAGGGAUUUAGCCCUUGUGAGAAAUCAAAAGUAUCAUAAACUUGUUUGUGAUUAAGUAUUUAUUCCUUCCCCAACACUAACUACAGUAUCUUGGACAGUGCUUUUUCUCAUUUUGCUCAACUUUAAUUUCACUAAACAUUAAUAUAUGUACCCUGGUGUUUUUUUUAUAAUGUUGAUUGGAGCCUUUUUUUCCUGUUGCAACUUUGCUUUCUUCUUGUUACUUCACUGAAGCAUGUUGAGUCAGUAUGUUUAUGUUUUUAUAAGCUUCCUUGGUCAUUGGAUGUCAAGCACAGAAGAAAAGAGUAGGUUUCAUUUCACUGGUUUCCGUGAAAAGAAUUAGAAUUUGAUUUUGAGCCGUAGUUUGUAGUAGAAAAUAAUGACCAUAUAUCAACUGUAAAUUCACCUGCUCCAUUGCUCCAAAACAACGGCUCCUCAGAAUGGACCUGCUGUGUAUGUAUGUAUGUGUCUGUGUCCCGGCCUUUGAAUAGUGAACUCUAUCUGAAGCCAGCUCUCUCGCUAAUGAUCUUUUCUCCUGUCUUCACCUGAGGCCAGACUCAGGCCAUUAAAUCUCCCGUUAGUCCUUGUCAAGACAAGAAAUAUCCUCUCAAGAUCUCUUUCCCCAGUCUCCCACUAAUGACAUACCGACUGGGAUGCCAGAUAAGGCCUUAUCAAACGAUAAGUGAGUGACAGCUCCAUCAGAUACCGUGGC
Molecule: long non-coding RNA, 1260 nt
Organism: Gasterosteus aculeatus aculeatus (three-spined stickleback)
Lineage: Eukaryota; Metazoa; Chordata; Actinopteri; Perciformes; Gasterosteidae
Source: Ensembl